CCAGCCACAGUUUACCUACCCUGUUGAAUAUGAUAUGCCUGAACAGGCCAUGAUCCUGCUGAUGCCAUUAUUGGGACAACUAGCCGGAUAUAUCAUUGCUCUUUGUCUGCGACGGAAAGUCGAGAGUACUCUUUUCCUGGUGAACGGGAUAAUUGUUCUCAUGGCCGCCGCUUUCACCUUUGCUGUUGUGAUCCCCAUGGGCAACAUAGCCAUAUCUUAUUGGGUGACCACUUGUUUUACUGUCCUUGGUGUGGCUCAUGGACUUGUCUACCUGACGGCAAAUGAAGUCAUACCCUGAUGUAUUUGCGAAGCAGAACACUCGGAUUGUAUGCAGUAUGGUGAUGUGUAUUACAGAUCUCUCCACUUUGACAGAGUCACUUUACUCAGAUUUGUUCGAGAAGAGUAGUGUCGCCAGGUUUGUCCAUGCUGGAAUCUUGAUACUGUCCGCCGGUGUCUGCGCGUUCGUAUUACGGACAGGCGUCAUUCCACGUAAUACCAAACCCUACACGGAGGAGGAUGAAACUGUACCUACAGAAGACGGUCAAGAGUUGGAAAAUACAGAAAACGCUGUAGAGGCGCCAAAGUGCGACAAUAGUGUGUAGUUCUGUGGGUUUAUACUAGUAAUAAAUGACAUUGCGUCAACUUGACUUUUAAAUUUUUGUCUUGGUGAAGUCAUCAAGAGACAAUAUUCCGCGUUUUAUUUAAAUUCGAAAGUACAAAGUUAUUUUCGUGGAUUAUAUUGUAAAUGUACUAACUUUGGCGAACUUUCUCAUAUUACCAAAUUUUAACAGAUUGGCCUGGCGCAAUGAAGAAUUCGUGCACUUAUAAAUGUUCAACAGAAAUGGUAUAUAGACAGUGUAAUGAACACAAUCAUGAUUUAGCGUAAUGCUGCAGCGAAAAAAAAAACCCCGCUAAAAUAAGAUUAUCGUUAAAAUAUCAUUACAGCUAAUGACAUGAUUCUCUUAAUAAUAACUAUUUGCAACUGUAAUUAUGACAACUGGAAUGGUGACAAUUUGGAUACCACACGCAGUGGAUGAAUCGUGAUUGCUUUGGUCACUUCUCUGAUAUUUAAUACCUGUCAAUGUUCGCCUAGGCCUAAGUAGUCACAUGCAGUAUUUUGAUGAUGCUUUUGGAUGUUUUUUCCUUGAAGUAUUAUGUGCCUUUUUCUUCUCUGUCUACUUACAUGACAUAUAUGUGCGUUGAUUUCACAGAAACUUUACAAUUAUAUAUAAAGGUAACUUAUGUAUAUAAACUGUAUUUAAUUCCCGUGUCAUGUUUUGUUUGACAAUGUUUAAAUGUUUUAUCUUUAAUUUUUUAAGUCAACCUUAUUAAAAUGUAAAAUGUGAUUGCUAGUCUAAUAUGUACCUACAUUGUAUGUUAUUUUUAUCAGUGUACAGUCUGCGUUACUGUUUUAUUACCGGCUGAAUUGGUUAUUAAAAACAAAUCUUGGCGUACAUAUAAACCUUUGAUAAGUAACGAUUGCAAAAGAGUUAUCUCUCCAUUAAUAUAGUGGUAAAGACUUUCUAAAUUGAUAAAUAACGAUAAGAGUUAUCCCCCCAAUAAUAUUUGUGGUAAAGACUUUCUAACUUCAUAAAUAACGAUAAGAGUUAUCUCUCCAAUAAUAUUUGUGGUAAAGACUUUCUAACUUGAUAAAUAACGAUAAGAGUUAUCUCCCCAAUAAUAUUUGUGGUAAAGACUUUCUAACUUGAUAAAUAACGAUAAGAGUUA
This is a long non-coding RNA of Pecten maximus, 1728 nucleotides long. RefSeq lists it as uncharacterized. The transcript has 3 exons. The record is from RefSeq and is a predicted model, not a curated record. NCBI's taxonomy places the organism in Eukaryota, Metazoa, Mollusca, Bivalvia, Pectinida, Pectinidae.